CUACAUGAAGCUGGAAUCGCUAGUAAUCGCGGAUCAGAAUGCCGCGGUGAAUGCGUUCCCGGGUCUUGUACACACCGCCCGUCACACCAUGGAAGUUGGGGCGCCCGAAGUUGCCUAAGAAAUAAGGUACCUAAGGCGAAACCAAUGACUGGGGUGAAGUCGUAACAAGGUAGC
RNAcentral lists this ribosomal RNA (174 nucleotides) under uncultured bacterium. Its description in RNAcentral is "partial 16S ribosomal RNA". It matches the Rfam family "Bacterial small subunit ribosomal RNA", at positions 1316 to 1500 of the family's 1533-position model. The record is from RNAcentral.